Uloborus diversus is the source of this 2268-nucleotide RNA transcript. It is a transcript of the gene named pancreatic lipase-related protein 3-like, with no coding region annotated. Lineage: Eukaryota; Metazoa; Arthropoda; Arachnida; Araneae; Uloboridae. The record is from RefSeq and is a predicted model, not a curated record. The transcript has 10 exons.
AUCGUUUAUCUAUAUAACAUGUUGAUUAAAAACUAUAAUUACAAUAAUAGUUGAAAAUAUCGAAAGGAAAAUCUUGACUUUGUAAAAUGAAUCUUACUAGUUUAGUAUUUUUGUUCAUUGUAAUAUUUCUCAAAACAAAAAUAUUGAAAGGUGAAGAUCCUUUUGAGGCGUUUUUUAUUCGUUUCCAGUGUUAUGGAGACUCGCAACCUGGCUGCACAAAGGACUUUAUUGACGAGCAUCCGGAAUUUUCACUCUCCAAUAAUGGAAUUACCAGAGCAGACACUUUUUUCUACCUAUUCACUCCAGAAAACCCAGAACAACCCGAGCUGUGGCAUAAAUGCGCUGAACUUAUACCUCCUGCUACGAAGUUUAAUCCGAAGUGCCGAACAGAAAUUGUCAUACCUGGGUGGCUUUGUGGCGCUUGCAACAUGGCUAUUUUCAGGGAAAUAAAGGAUGAAAUAUUGAAAAGGAGUGAAUGUUCCAACGUGUUUGUGAUUGAUUAUAUGUGGGGAAAUUCACUUGAUUACACAGAAACCCAUGAAAAUUUGUUAAUUCUUUCUGAUCAAAUAGCCUAUCUUGUUAGAAAACUAAAGACUACUUAUCAACUCACUCCGGAGGAUUUUACUUGCACAGGUCACAGUUUUGGUGCACAAACUUGCGGAUUGCUUGGACACAAAGAGCGUAUGGCUGUUAUAAAUGGUCUUGAUCCUGCUGGUGGGAUAGUUACAGAAAUAACACCUCUAGAUCAAAGAUUGGAUGCUGGUGACGCUGACUGCGUUCAAGUAAUUCACUCAAAUGGAGGGCAAUGUUUUCCUGAAUUUGUUGGAUGUAAUUUUACCUGUGGCACCGUUGACAUAUGGCCGAAUGGAGGUCUGCUCCAGCCUGAAGAGCUUUGCCGUCAAGAGACGUUAACUGCCAUUGCCAAGCAAGAUUAUUUUUAUGCUUUUUUAAACAUCAUUGCUUGCUCCCAUCUCGAAGCUCUGCAGUUUUACAAGGCUUCCAUCAGUGCUGAGGAUGCCAAAUUUGUAGCAGUUAGAUGUCAGAACUAUCGACAAUUUCAGAGGGGAAAUUGCCCAAAUUGUGGAAAGAAUGGAGACAAAUGUGUUGAGAUGGGCCCGGAUUGUUGCAGCUGCUUGAAACCAAAUCAGAGAAGAAAUGGCGGAUCGAAAAAUUUCUACUUGAAUACGAAUGAUUCUUGCCCAUAUAUAGAUAACUCUGAUAUAAAUGCUGAAAAUUUUCAAUGCUAGGGAGUAAAGAAUGUUGAACAAGAAACUUUUUGUAGAUUGAUAAUGAACUACGUUAAAGUUGCUUUGAUUUCGACCGGGCUUCUUGCCGGGUCGGCUACGUUUGCAUAUCUCUACAGGAAAUGGAAACAAAACUGUGAUGAUGACACACAGGAUCCUGUUGAUAUUCCUAACAACCGUGACGUUGCUAAUCGUCACGAAUCUUAUGUUCUUGUUCCGCUUAAAUCAAUGCAGUCAACGGAACAAAUUUUGCGAGAUAUUCGCACCAUAUUGGAUGAUGCCAAAUCAAGAUUAAACUCAAGACUUUAAAGCCUUUACACAAAUCUGAGCCAACUUUUUUGAAGAAGUUAUUUUCUACUGUGAACUUGGUACUACAAUCUGUAAGAAAUACUUUUAAUUGAAACCACAACUAUACCUGAAGCAAAUUUUAAUGACAUGAAAAGACUCUUAUAAAGAAAGUGAUGCAUCUUCCUCAAGAGGAGCGGUUCUUCUCCCGCAACGCCUCACCUGUUCUCUGCCGAGAAAUUUUCAUUUGCCAAGAAGUCGAUUAGUCUGCGACUUCCGAAUUCGGAGAUUGACUUUCACAAUGACUUAUAAACAAAGGAACUUCUUUUGGAUCUCUCGCCUCCUUCUCUAGCCAGAAAGAAGUCAGCGUUUCAAUUAUUUCCUCCAAGGACAACUUCGACCUGGAUCGUCUGCGACCUCUUGAUAACUCACAGAUUCUAUCUUGCCUUGAACGAUGGAUUAUAAAUGAAGAUCAGCAUCUCCUUUUAGUUCUCUUGCCUCCUUCUCUAGCCAGAAAGGAGUCAGCGCUUCAAAGAUUUCUCACAAGAAAAAUUUCAGUCUGGAUCGUCUGUGACCCCUAGAUGACUCACAGAUUCCAUCAUGCCUUGAACGAUGGGUUUUAAAUGAAGAUCAGCAUCUCCUUUUGACUCUCUUGCCUCCUUCUCUAGCCAGAAAGGAGUCAGCACUUCAAUGAUUUCUUACAAGAACUUCAGUCUGGAUCGUCUGCGACCCCCAGAUA